AACCUCUAGCUUCCUCACCCCUCAGAUCUAACUCCUGGUCUGAGUAGCUAAGAACGGAGGACAAGUAAAGCUGAAAUGAACUUGGAGUCCUUAGUAACAGCUAAGUUCAUUUCAAACUUUA
This 121-nucleotide small nucleolar RNA is filed under the name Echinops telfairi (small Madagascar hedgehog). RNAcentral's name for it is "Small nucleolar RNA SNORA61 (ENSETEG00000026087.1)". The record is from RNAcentral. Lineage: Eukaryota; Metazoa; Chordata; Mammalia; Afrosoricida; Tenrecidae.